CGCAACUCAGUAUCACUGCAGUGCUGGUUGUGCUUCAAUUCAAACUGCUUAUGAACAACCAAUCAAAUGAAGCACAACAUUCCAAUAGUGACAGCCUGCUUGCUUGUAUCUUUGUAACUUAACCUAUGAUAUGGAGGGACAUACAUAUAUAGCAGCAAAUAUUGGUAGGUAGUGCUUUUCACUCUUCAAGCACAAUUGAGAACGCAUCAUCCAAUAUAGGCUCUAAAGUUAUAAGGUACAGCAAGAUAUUUGACGACAUCAUUUUGGCUAAUGAUGUCGACUCACUUCUCAGUUUCGUUAUGGCAAGUGACAAGAUCAUGGAAUGAAAGAUUGUUCUAGAGAUUGACAAACUGACUUAUUAUGGACAUGGAUGAAAGAGCACAAAAGGCAGAUUAUACACAAAAGAGAAAACUGAUGCAAAUGAAACUAAGCAGGUUAAGAAUGUACCUAUUCCAAAUGGUGAACCUCAAAAACCAUUAGCAUGUAGCCAAGUCUCUAACAAUAAGACUCUAGGUCAUGAAAGUGAAGUUAAUUUAGGAGGAGGUUUUAGGGAUCUUUCAAAACUUCCAACGCUGUUUCAGAGGUUAUAUUGGAGGGUUACAACGGUUGAGUAUUAGUUGAUUCUGCUACAAGUUUGCAAAUAAGGUUCAUGUAGCAGUGUGUGUGGCAGAAAUUCUCCCGAAGUUAGGAUACUCAACUGAUAAAGAUCUUAAAGAUGGGAGUCUGUU
RNAcentral lists this long non-coding RNA (728 nucleotides) under Medicago truncatula (barrel medic). RNAcentral describes it as "lncRNA gene31078". The record is from RNAcentral. Lineage: Eukaryota; Viridiplantae; Streptophyta; Magnoliopsida; Fabales; Fabaceae.